AUUGAACGCUGGCGGCGUGCUUAACACAUGCAAGUCGAUCGGUAACAGGUGUAGCAAUACAUGCUGACGAGAGGCGGACGGGUGAGUAAUGCUUGGGAAUCUGCCUAUUAGUGGGGGACAACCCGGGGAAACUCGGGCUAAUACCGCAUACGCUCUACGGAGGAAAGCCGGGGACCGCAAGGGCCUGGCGCUAAUAGAUGAGCCCAAGUCGGAUUAGCUAGUUGGUAGGGUAACGGCCUACCAAGGCGACAAUCCGUAGCUGGUCUGAGAGGACGACCAGCCACACCGGAACUGAGACACGGUCCGGACUCC
RNAcentral lists this ribosomal RNA (312 nucleotides) under uncultured bacterium. RNAcentral describes it as "bacterial SSU rRNA". It matches the Rfam family "Bacterial small subunit ribosomal RNA", at positions 30 to 339 of the family's 1533-position model. The record is from RNAcentral.